UUAAGUUUGCCUCUUUUCAAUCAGACAGCAUGUGUAUAACAUCAGGGACUGGGAGAAAAACAACAACACAGGGUAUGGCCUCCUCUAAAGAACACACUUUUCUCCACUCUCGGGCAGGUGCUUCAGGAAGCGAUCUUUCUUUCCCUUAUAUUUUGGAAACCAUGAAGUUGGAACUAUAAAUGAAGAGGGGCCGCCCACAAACACUUUGGUGGCACACCCUGUGAAAUGUGUUUGCUGUGAUAGGUGAUGACGACAACGGCACCAUCUUCAGGAAAAAUUGGAGACACGAUGCCUUGAAGCAGGGCUUCCUCACCCGAGUCUGCUUUUCCCAUCAGUGUUAGCAAUGAGAUGUUGUGCGCACACUUCUGUGUUCUUCCACAUAACGUAAGCCACAGUACAUAAAUAUAUCCUGCUUC
Molecule: non-coding RNA, 416 nt
Organism: Podarcis muralis (Common wall lizard)
Lineage: Eukaryota; Metazoa; Chordata; Lepidosauria; Squamata; Lacertidae
Source: RefSeq, a predicted model, not a curated record